This 467-nucleotide long non-coding RNA is filed under the name Ananas comosus (pineapple). Its description in RNAcentral is "long non-coding RNA (ACOM_LNC028677)". The record is from RNAcentral. Lineage: Eukaryota; Viridiplantae; Streptophyta; Magnoliopsida; Poales; Bromeliaceae.
UGAGUGACGAGGUAAGAAAUAAAGAUUUAAUCUAUUAUAAUAAGAGGAAACUUUAAAUACCCUUUCCGUGGUUUCGUACUUUCUCACUUUAGUAUCAUGUAUUUUAAAUUGUAUAAAGUUAGUACUAUGUGGUUUCGUACUUUCUCUCACUUUAGUAUCCUGUGGUUUCAAGUGUAUCAAGUUAGUACCCUGUGGUUUCGCACUCUCUCACUUUAGUAUUCUGUGGUUUAAUAUUUCGUUAAAUUAUAUACCCUGAAAUGAAUAAUAAAAAGAGAAAUUUGAUAUCACAGGAUACUAACUUGAUACAAAAAUAAAACCACAGGCUACUAGAUAUAUUUGAAACCAUAGGAUACUAAAGUGAGAAAGUGUGAAACCAUAUGUACUAACUUGAUACACUUUAAACCACAGGGUACUAAAAUAAAAAAGUGCAAAACCAAAAGGGGGUAUUUGAAGUUUACCAUUAUAAU